UACGAGGGAUGCAAGCGUUAUCCGGAAUUAUUGGGCGUAAAGCGUUUGUAGGCGGGCGAGUGUGUUUAAUGUUAAAUCUUAAAGCUCAACUUUGAAAUUGCGUUAAAAACUGCUUGUCUUGAGUAUGGUAGGGGUAAAGGGAAUUCCCAGUGUAGCGGUGAAAUGCGUAGAUAUUGGGAAGAACACUAAACAGCGAAGGCACUUUACUAGGCUAAUACUGACGCUGAGAAACGAAAGGUAAGGUAGCGAAACGGAUUAGAUACCCGUGUAGUCUUACCCGUAAACUAUGGACACUAAACGGUAAAUUUUUAAUUUACUGUUAAAGCUAACGCGUUAAGUGUCCCGCCUGGGGAGUAUGCUUGCAAAAGUGAAACUCAAAGGAAUUGACGGGGGCCCGCACAAGCGGUGGAGCAUGUGGUUUAAUUCGACGGUACACGAAGAACCUUACCAGGAUUUGACAUGCUAGAUAGUUGCUUGAAAGAGUAACGUGCCGUAAGGAAUCUAGACACAGGUGGUGCAUGGCUGUCGUCAGUUCGUGUUGUGAAAUGUUGGGUUAAGUCCCGCAACGAACGCAACCCUUGUCUUUAGUUAUUUUCUAAAGAGACUGCCUGUAAUAAACAGGAGGAAGGUAAGGAUGAGGUCAAGUCAUCAUGCCCCUUAUGUCCUGGGCUACACACGUGCUACAAUGGGAAAGACAAUGAGCUGCAAAUCUGUAAAUUUAAGCAAAUCUCUUAAACUUUCUCGUAGUUCGGAUUGUGGGCUGCAACUCGCCCACAUGAAGUUGGAAUCGCUAGUAAUCGCCAGUCAGCUAUAUGGCGGUGAAUCCGUUCCCGCGCCU
RNAcentral lists this ribosomal RNA (838 nucleotides) under uncultured bacterium. RNAcentral's name for it is "bacterial SSU rRNA". It matches the Rfam family "Bacterial small subunit ribosomal RNA", at positions 524 to 1381 of the family's 1533-position model. The record is from RNAcentral.